CGAAUGCUGACAUAAGUAACGAUAAAGCGGGUGAAAAGCCCGCUCGCCGGAAGACCAAGGGUUCCUGUCCAACGUUAAUCGGGGCAGGGUGAGUCGACCCCUAAGGCGAGGCCGAAAGGCGUAGUCGAUGGGAAACAGGUUAAUAUUCCUGUACUUGGUGUUACUGCGAAGGGGGGACGGAGAAGGCUAUGUUGGCCGGGCGACGGUUGUCCCGGUUUAAGCGUGUAGGCUGGUUUUCCAGGCAAAUCCGGAAAAUCAAGGCUGAGGCGUGAUGACGAGGCACUACGGUGCUGAAGCAACAAAUGCCCUGCUUCCAGGAAAAGCCUCUAAGCAUCAGGUAACAUCAAAUCGUACCCCAAACCGACACAGGUGGUCAGGUAGAGAAUACCAAGGCGCUUGAGAGAACUCGGGUGAAGGAACUAGGCAAAAUGGUGCCGUAACUUCGGGAGAAGGCACGCUGAUAUGUAGGUGAGGUCCCUCGCGGAUGGAGCUGAAAUCAGUCGAAGAUACCAGCUGGCUGCAACUGUUUAUUAAAAACACAGCACUGUGCAAACACGAAAGUGGACGUAUACGGUGUGACGCCUGCCCGGUGCCGGAAGGUUAAUUGAUGGGGUUAGCGCAAGCGAAGCUCUUGAUCGAAGCCCC
Molecule: ribosomal RNA, 645 nt
Filed under: Escherichia coli
Lineage: Bacteria; Pseudomonadati; Pseudomonadota; Gammaproteobacteria; Enterobacterales; Enterobacteriaceae
Description: partial 23S ribosomal RNA
Rfam family: Bacterial large subunit ribosomal RNA
Source: RNAcentral